Molecule: ribosomal RNA, 930 nt
Filed under: uncultured bacterium
Lineage: Bacteria
Description: bacterial SSU rRNA
Rfam family: Bacterial small subunit ribosomal RNA
Source: RNAcentral
UGACGACCGGCGCACGGGUGCGUAACGCGUAUAGAACCUACCUUAUAUUGGGGGAUAGCCCAGAGAAAUUUGGAUUAAUACCCCAUGGUAUGCUAGAGUGGCAUCACUUUAGUAUUAAAGAUUUAUCGAUAUAAGAUGGCUAUGCGUUCUAUUAGCUAGUUGGUAAGGUAACGGCUCACCAAGGCGACGAUAGAUAGGGGUCCUGAGAGGGAGAUCCCCCACACUGGUACUGAGACACGGACCAGACUCCUACGGGAGGCAGCAGUGAGGAAUAUUGGACAAUGGAGGCAACUCUGAUCCAGCCAUGCCGCGUGCAGGAAGACUGCCCUAUGGGUUGUAAACUGCUUUUAUAGAGGAAGAAACCGCUCUACGUGUAGAGCUCUGACGGUACUCUACGAAUAAGGAUCGGCUAACUCCGUGCCAGCAGCCGCGGUAAUACGGAGGAUCCAAGCGUUAUCCGGAAUCAUUGGGUUUAAAGGGUCCGUAGGCGGGCUUAUAAGUCAGUGGUGAAAGUUUGCGGCUCAACCGUAAAAUUGCCAUUGAUACUGUAGGUCUUGAAUCAUUGUGAAGUGGUUAGAAUGUGUAGUGUAGCGGUGAAAUGCAUAGAUAUUACACAGAAUACCGAUUGCGAAGGCAGAUCACUAACAAUUGAUUGACGCUCAGGGACGAAAGCGUGGGUAGCGAACAGGAUUAGAUACCCUGGUAGUCCACGCCGUAAACGAUGGUUACUAGCUGUUUGGACUUCGGUCUGAGUGGCUAAGCGAAAGUGAUAAGUAACCCACCUGGGGAGUACGUUCGCAAGAAUGAAACUCAAAGGAAUUGACGGGGGCCCGCACAAGCGGUGGAGCAUGUGGUUUAAUUCGAUGAUACGCGAGGAACCUUACCAGGCUUAAAUGUAGUCUGACAGCUUUAGAGAUAGAGUUUUCUUCG